CAUUUUUUUUUUUUUUGAGAUGGAGUCUCACUCUGUUGCCCAGACUGGAGUGCAGUGGCAUGAUCUUGGCUCACCGCAACCUCCAUCUAUCUUCUUCUUGACCUUUUAUCAUUAUAAAAUGUCCUUCUUUACCUCUAGCAAAAAUUUUUGUCUUAAAGUCUGUUCUGCCUGCCAUUAUAACCACUGCAGCUCUUUGUUGGUUACCUGACAACCUGCCUUCACCAAAGUGCCUACACUGAUGGGUUUGGAAGGGACACCUAAAGCUCUGUUAAGAAAGAUUCUGAGGCUGUAUCCUGGCUCAGUAUGAAAGUGUCAGGACUGAGAAGAGAUGCCUCAGCGUCUGACACAGCAUCCCUAAUGCCACAUACUCAUCACCCCUAUUCUAGGGGCUGCCCUGAUUGUAAACAGCACAGAACUGUUUUUAUCCUUAUUACCCCUAAUUUAAUAAUGACUCAGAGCCAUCCAAUAGACACCGAGGCUGAUUCUGAAGGUGGGAAAGCCCAUCAUUGUAAGGCAUUACACAGGUGUUAGAUGAGCACUUAUCAGAGCUGACAGAUGGAUUCUGUGGCACACACAUCUGGUGCCCCACCCAUACCCCCUCUCAGCAUUUGGUCUCAUGCCUGCCUGCCUGCAACCUGCCAGCAUCUGCCAUUCUGCCCCAGGGGCUGCCGAGGUCCAUGUGUCGGACCUCGGCCAACAACCCCCGGAGCUCCCUCACCCCUCAGGUGGGAUGACACUGAGCACAUGCUCCAUGCUGGCUCCCAGAAUUCUCAGUGGACCAUGCAUAGCCGCCCGCAGUGCUGCCUGUCCUGCAGUGCUGCCUGUCACAGGCACUCUUCCUGGUGGCCCCUCUUUCUGUUCUUACUUAUGUACUUUCUUGCUGAUAUUUCCUGGCAUCUCCUCCCAAAUAAACUAUUUGCACUGUCCCAGGAUCUGCUUCAGAAAACCCAAACUCAGAUUCCAAGUAGCAGGCAUGACUUAGAAGAUCUCCAAAGCUGAAUGCAUGAUUCCAUGAAGCUCACAGUGAUUACUUCAGCACAGCAACAUGUAGUUCUUCGGUGCCCACUUUCUCCAAACAAUGGCUAACACGUUUUUUAGUACUCACUCGAACCACAGCCCCAGAAGCUUUACACCUGUUUAAUCCUUUAAUAUUCACAAAACCUCUAUGAUGCUAGUCACUAAUUAGUACCCUCAUUUUGCUGAUGAGGAAACUGAGGGCACAGAGAGGUUAAGUAACUUUUCCAAGCUCCACACAGUAAGUGGCAGGUAUUGGAUUAAAACCCAGGCAAUCUGGCUCCAGAGUCUGUAGUUUUCUUUGUUAAACUUUAAACAUUAAGAAUCACUGCAAACAUAUAUUUAAAAAGUAGAAUAGAAUGAUGAACCUUCCAUAGACCCAUCCUUUAGCUUUAUGUCUCUUGUUUCAUCUCUGUCCCUGCCCACGGGAUGAUUUGGAAGCGAAUGGAGUCUGUACUUGUAACCACCAAGCUGUAAGAGAAGAGCCCAGGGGAUUAACGGAGAAGGAUGUAACAACUUCAACUUGUGUAACUCUUGUUCCUCUGCCAAGAACACUCCCAGUAAGUUAUCUCAGUGUUGGGCAGGCAGUAACUUCUCAGGAAAUACUUGAUUAUCCCAAGGACUCCUCAGAGCCAAUGCAAGGAGAAUGGGGCAGGCAGGUAACAUCACUUCUGAUAUUACUGGAGAGAAAACUGAGACCUAGGGAAAGCCUUGCCCCAACUCUCUCAGCUGGUGAGGUCUGAGUGAGGCCAGAACUCAGGGCCCACGCUUCCCACAGUCCUCUCUCUACAUGCUGCCCUGAGUGUGUGCACACGUGUGUGUGUGUGUGUGUGUACACACACACACACACACACACACACUGUGGUGUGUCUGGGGCCUCUGGCUCUCUUGAUUCCUGUCUUAAAGUGGAGCCUCUCCCUCCUGUCUGGUCUGAAGGGUUCUUAGGACUCUGAUGAUGGUUCUACCGGGUGGACUGUGGCAUAAGGAGGAGUUGUUGUGGCUUGAAUCAUGUCCCCCAAAAAGACAUAUUGAAGUCCUAACCCCUGGUUGUUGUGAAUGUGGCUUUAUUUGGAAACAGGGUCUUUGCAGAUGUAGUUAUGUUAAGACGGGGUCAUACUGGAUUAGGGUGGGCACUCAUCCAAUGGCUGGUAUAUUUUUAAGAAGAGAGAAAUCUGGACCCAGACACACAGAGAGGAUACUGUGUGAUGAUGGAGGCAGAGACUGGAGUAGUGAGUCUAUGAGCCAAGGAAUGCCAAGGCUUGCCAGCAAUACCAGAAGCUGGGAACAGGCAUGGAAUCCUCCCGAGGACUUCAGAGACAGCAUGGCACUGAUUUUGGACUUGGAGGCUCCAGAACUGUGAGAGAAUGAACUUCUGUUUUAAGCCAUCCAGUUUUUGGUUCUCUGUUACAGCAGCCCUAGGAAACUAAGAUAGGAGCAGUAAGAUUCUCACACACUGGCACUGUGACAGUGACAUGGCAGGAAUACAGCCUGCUGGCAGCCUCUGCUGAGCCUGGUCUGGAGCACUGCACUCCACGGCCUACUGCACUGGCUAGGGCUCGCCCCUCUGUAGUCUAGUCUGUUUGUAGCAGUUCGAGCAGUCUUUAAAAGCAGCAGUACAUUGCAUCUUGUCACUCUUCCACUCUCCUGCUUAAAUUUAAACCCUUCAAUGGCUUCCCCUGGCUCUUGGAAGAAAGGUCAUAUGGCAAGGUGUGCACAGUCAGUCUCUGUUCCCUCUUCAGCCUCGUCUUGCCCCCUCCCUCAACGAUGCUCCCUCCCUUACUAUCUUAUUUCUGGUGUUCAAAGGCCCCAGGAUGUCUCCUUCAGCCUCAGGUUCUCUGCCCGUGCUCGUCCUUCUACCUGGAUUGGUUGACAUCCCAAAGCCUCCAUACAAUUCCUCCCAGUUAACUCCUGCUCAUCCUUCAGAUCCCAGUGCCAAUUCAACUCCUUACAAAGCCUUUCCUGAUGUACCCAAACCACAGCAGGUUCCUAGGUCAGCCCCUUGCAAAGGCCUGGAACUCAUCCUUCAAGGCACUCAGCUCAGAUUACCCUGCAUAUUUAUGGAAUUCCUCACUGUCUCUUUCACUCAACCCUAAGCUUAUGAGGGCAAGUUCUGUGAAUGCUCCUCUCACCAGGGUGUCCUCGUGCCUAGCACCCAAGCCAGAGGCGUCUGCGAACCUUCAUCUCAUCUGAUUUUCACAACCCUGUGAGGGAAGCAGGUCCCAGUUCAACACCUUCACUUCAAGACAAGGUCCAGAAAACAUUUCUUGUCCAAGGCUACACAGCUAACAAGUUAUGUGCUGAAGAUAGGACUCAGAUAUAGUUUGCUUCGUUCAGGAAUCUUCACUACUCUGUGUAAUCAGAUCAAUUCCCAAGUGGAAUAUUUCAGAGUUUCAAUCUCUGAUGCCACUGAGCCUUGCAGAAACAGCACUGAGGAG
Molecule: long non-coding RNA, 3449 nt
Filed under: Homo sapiens (human)
Lineage: Eukaryota; Metazoa; Chordata; Mammalia; Primates; Hominidae
Description: non-protein coding lnc-HAND1-5:1
Source: RNAcentral